AUGCAACCAUAGAGUACAAUAGAGCCGCAAAGUACUGGAGCGCCGAUGAAGCCAAUCCAUUAACGGGCCUUUCCGAGCCCCGUGUGCUCCGAAAGUGUGAACCAGGUGUGAACCCGACGGCAUUUUGUAACACGGCGCCUUAUGAGAGAAUCGCGGACUGAGGUUGGUUUUUCGACAUUUUACAAUUCAAUCAGCAUUAAUUUUUGCAAAUUUUACUAUUAAAAGGUAGUCAAAGCCAUAAUGAAUCCAUUGAUGUAUAUUACUCCUGGAUAAUAUUUAUAUAGGGAUUUAAUUUCUGACUUAUACCAAGGUGUGAACCAACCGGCAUUUCUUAUCACGGCGGCUUACGGUAAAAGCAACGACUGCCUGUGUUUUUUCGACAUUUUGUAAUUCAAUCGAUAUUAAUUUGUGCAAAUUUUGCUAUAAUUAGAUAGUCAAAGCCAUAAUGAAUCCAUUGAUGUAUAUUACGCCUGGAUAAAAUUCAUAUAGGAAUUUAAUUUCUGACUUAUACCAAGGUGUGAACCAACCGGCAUUUUUUUACACGGUGGCUUAUGGAGAAAUCAACGACUGCUUGUGUUUUUUCGACUUUUUUUAAUUCCAUCGGUAUUAAUUUGUGCAAAUUUUGCUUGAAAUAGAUAUUCAAAGCCACAAUGAAUCCAUUAAUGUAUGUUACUCCCAGAUAAUAUUCAUAUAUGGACUCAAUUUCAGACUUAUUACCGGCCUACUUAUUUUAGCUGGUUGAGUGUGUGUCUAGUCGACGAACGGAGCCGAGUCGGGACUGUCGGGAGUGGGGAGCGCUGAGCGCGAGUCUCUGCGUAUGCGUCAUCGCUAGUCGCCGCACACUAGUCUCCGGAGAACUGGACAAAACAGCCUCGAAAAGUGACUUCAUCGACGAUCCAGUACUUUGCGACUCUAUUGUACUCUAUGCAUGCAACAUCUCCAUUGAAGCUACAGCUCUGGCACCCGGAAGUUUCGGCCUCUGAGCCCGGAACGGACGAAAGAGAGGCGCAUAGCAAAGCAGGAAUGAAGUCCAAGAAAGGAGGAAUUUCUGCCCCUACAGAAGGAUGGUCUGUUGUCUUGUGUAUUUCGCUUCCCACAAAGAACGGAUAAAAAAUGUGUUGACGGUUCUUUCUACGAGUAAUUAUUUCUUUGAACUGUUUACAUAACAGUAGAAACAAGGACUCCUGUAUUCUUUCUUUGUCUUAUCUUUUAAUUUUGUGUACUACCCUUUUG
Molecule: long non-coding RNA, 1233 nt
Filed under: Bemisia tabaci
Lineage: Eukaryota; Metazoa; Arthropoda; Insecta; Hemiptera; Aleyrodidae
Description: lncRNA ENSASIAIIG000926
Source: RNAcentral